Molecule: long non-coding RNA, 1099 nt
Organism: Ochlerotatus camptorhynchus
Lineage: Eukaryota; Metazoa; Arthropoda; Insecta; Diptera; Culicidae
Exons: 3
Source: RefSeq, a predicted model, not a curated record
ACCACCGAAGGAGCAGAGAACGAAGGAAUCCAAUCAAAACAUAAAAUUCACGACGCUUAUGGCUCUCGUCCGGGUGGUGUACAUCCCGCCGGCGUACUCAACUAUGAUCAUUCAAGUCUGUAAUACACGAACGUGCUGGCGGAGUCCCCUAUCCAUACCAUGCCAUACCCAGUAAAAGACCCGAUCGGAUGUUGAACAUAUGCAGCCACAAUACAAAGACGACACGAUCUUGAGACUUUGCCCAGGCGGCAGUGGAUGUGUAAUUUUCUCUAACGAUAUCCAGAAAUGUGUAUACUCUUCGGUCGAUACCAUGCGGGAUAAGACGGUACAAUUUAGAUAAUUCGUUAAAGAGUGCUCCUUUAUUCACAGAGUGAAACAGUGUUCAAUGGUUUAGUGUUACGCUAAUGUGGUGUAUUCUAAGAGAAAAAGAAUACGUUCCUGAUGGCGUCAUGACGCAAUACAUUUCAAAAUGUGAUAUGCAAGCCAAAUGCAAAAUUAGUGAAACGACGUUCUUUUACGAUGUGCAAAAAUGAUUAAAAGUGUGUCAUAUAUCCAGAUGAUGAAAAUUAAGUGAAGGCUACUUCUUUUCUGUGUGCAAAAUAGUCGUGUUUGUCAUAAUUAAUUCACUGCUUACUCGUUGUUUAUUCGUUCGACAUAUUUGUAGUAUACAUUUGCUGCCGAUCACCAUGUACUCAGACAACCCAAACUAUUUUGACGAAGAAGUUGCAACGAGAAGUAAUGAAACAAGCAGCAAAAGUUUCUUCCUGUUUAAGAAAAGAAAUUCCUCCAAUAAACUCACAGCAACAAAGUCAGUUCCUGUAAAUAAUGAUCAUCAGCCGGCGGCGCACAAACGGCGUGGAAGUUUUAAAGGUUUAUUGCGCUCACGCAGUAAUAGCACAACAUCGCCCUCGGUCAAGUCUGGUACGAAUACUAGGAAACAUAACACGCUAGACUACCGAAACCAUGGAGCUGACAGUAUCCGUGACAGAUGGGAUUCCUACAACGAAUCAUUUUCCGAAAACAGCGCCAAUGAUGAUGUAUUUUACUCGAAUUCCAUUGAUUCAAAAUGCACCAGCUUAUUUCAAGAAGGCAGAGAGAA